UUCCGGUUGAUCCUGCCGGAGGUCACCGCUAUUGGAGUUCGCUUAAGCCAUGCGAGUCAAGGGGACUUCGGUCACCGGCGCACUGCUCAGUAACACGUGGAUAACCUGCCCUUAGUGGGGGAUAGCCUCGGGAAACUGAGGGUAAUACCCCAUAGGCCAUUUGUACUGGAAGGUCUUAUGGCUGAAAGCUCCGGCGCCUAAGGAUGGGUCUGCGGCCUAUCAGGUUGUAGUGGGUGUAACGGACCCACUAGCCGACGACGGGUACGGGUCGUGGGAGCGAUCGCCCGGAGAUGGAUUCUGAGACAUGAAUCCAGGCCCUACGGGGCGCAGCAGGCGCGAAAACUUCGCAAUGUGGGCAACCACGACGAGGGAACUCCAAGUGCCAGCACCUUGUGUUGGCUUUUCUCAUACCUAAAAAGUAUGAGGAAUAAGGGCUGGGUAAGACUGGUGCCAGCCGCCGCGGUAAUACCAGCAGCCCUAGUGGCGAUCACUAUUAUUGGGCCUAAAACGUCCGUAGCCGGUUCAGUAAAUCUCCGGGUAAAUCGACUGGCCUAACCAGCCGAAUUCCGGAGAGACUGCUGGACUUGGGACCGGGUGAGGGUCGAGUACUUCUGGGGGAGGGGUGAAAUCCUUUAAUCCCAGAAGGACCACCGGUGGCGAAGGUGUCGACCUAGAACGGCUCCGACGGUAAGGGACGAAACCUGGGGCGCAAACGGGAUUAGAUACCCCGGUAGUCCAGGGCGUAAACGCUGUGGGCUUGGUGUUGGAUGUCCUACGAGGGCAUUCAGUGCCGAAGAGAAGUUGAUAAGCCUACUGCCUGGGGAGUACGCUCGCAAGAGUGAAACUUAAAGGAAUUGGCGGGGGAGCACCGCAACGGGUGGAGCGUGCGGUUUAAUUGGAUUCAACGCCGGAAAACUCACCGGGGGAGACCACCGUAUGAGAGUCAGGCUGAAGACCUUACUCGAUUAAUAGGUGGAGAGGUGGUGCAUGGCCGUCGUCAGUUCGUACUGUGAAGCGUUCUGUUAAGUCAGAUAACGAACGAGACCCUCGCUGCCAGUUGCCACUGUUCUCUCCGGAGGACAAGCACACUGGUGGGACCGCUGGCGCAAAGUCAGAGGAAGGAGAGGGCGACGGUAGGUCAGUAUGCCCUGAAUCCCCACGGGCCACACGCGCGCUACAAAGGACGGGACAAUGGGUAUCGACUCCGAAAGGAGAAGGUAAGCCCGAAACCCGCUCCGUAGUUCGGAUCGAGGGUUGCAACUCACCCUCGUGAAGCUGGAAUCCGUAGUAAUCGCGGAUCAACAUCCCGCGGUGAAUGCGCCACUGCUCCUUGCACACACCGCCCGUCAAACCA
RNAcentral lists this ribosomal RNA (1354 nucleotides) under uncultured archaeon. Its description in RNAcentral is "bacterial SSU rRNA". It matches the Rfam family "Archaeal small subunit ribosomal RNA". The record is from RNAcentral.